RNAcentral lists this ribosomal RNA (252 nucleotides) under uncultured bacterium. Its description in RNAcentral is "partial 16S ribosomal RNA". It matches the Rfam family "Bacterial small subunit ribosomal RNA", at positions 524 to 776 of the family's 1533-position model. The record is from RNAcentral.
UACGUAGGGUCCAAGCGUUAUCCGGAAUCACUGGGCGUAAAGCGUCCGCAGCCGGCGCGUUAAGUGAGAUGUGAAACCGUGUGGCUCAACCAUACGUUGUGUCUCAUACUGGCGUGCUAGAGGGAAGCAGAGGCAAAUGGAAUUGGCAGUGUAGCAGUGAAAUGCGUAGAGAUUGCCAGGAACACCAAUGGCGAAGGCAGUUUGCUGGGCUUCUUCUGACGGUCAUGGACGAAAGCGUGGGGAGCGAACAGG